This is a non-coding RNA of Pelobates cultripes (western spadefoot toad), 222 nucleotides long. NCBI's taxonomy places the organism in Eukaryota, Metazoa, Chordata, Amphibia, Anura, Pelobatidae. The record is from the annotation of a GenBank genome assembly.
GGGGCAAGGGUCCAUCUGACCACUGAUACCUGGUCUGCAAAGCAUGGUCAGGGCAGGUAUAUCACCUACACUGCGCAUUGGGCAAACCUGCUGACGGCUGCCAAGCAUGGAAUGCAUGGCUCUGCAGAGGAGUUGGUGACACCGCCACGACUUGCAGGCAAGCCUGCUGCCACCUCCUCUACUCCUCCUACUCCAUCCUCUUCCAUAACCUCCUCGGCUGAG